AUGAACGCUAGCGGCAGGCCUAACACAUGCAAGUCGAGGGAGAAGCCCUUUCGGGGGCAGAAACCGGCGCACGGGUGCGUAACGCGUAUGCAACCUACCUUUCACAGGGGGAUAGCCCGAAGAAAUUUGGAUUAAUACCCCAUAAUAUUAUUGGAUGGCAUCAUUUGAUAAUUAAAACUGCGGUGGUGAAAGAUGGGCAUGCGUCCUAUUAGCUAGUUGGAGUGGUAACGGCACCCCAAGGCUACGAUAGGUAGGGGUCCUGAGAGGGAGAUCCCCCACACUGGUACUGAGACAGGGACCAGACUCCUACGGGAGGCAGCAGUGAGGAAUAUUGGUCAAUGGUCGGAAGACUGAACCAGCCAUGCCGCGUGCAGGAGGAAUGCCUUAUGGGUUGUAAACUGCUUUUAUAUGGGAAGAAUAAGGCGUACGUGUACGUUGAUGACGGUACCAUAUGAAUAAGCAUCGGCUAACUCCGUG
This 477-nucleotide ribosomal RNA is filed under the name uncultured bacterium. Its description in RNAcentral is "partial 16S ribosomal RNA". It matches the Rfam family "Bacterial small subunit ribosomal RNA", at positions 29 to 507 of the family's 1533-position model. The record is from RNAcentral.